This is a long non-coding RNA of Cavia porcellus (domestic guinea pig), 1741 nucleotides long. The record is from Ensembl. NCBI's taxonomy places the organism in Eukaryota, Metazoa, Chordata, Mammalia, Rodentia, Caviidae.
CGGGCCGGGCGGUGGGAGGGGAGACAGGGCUUCCUCUGCAGCAGCGGCGGCUUUGGCUUCUCCAGGACAGUGUUUCCAGCUGCAGCAGCUGACCACUUCCCUUUCUAGGGCACAAGCCUGGCUCUAAGAGAAACAGAAAAAACAGAGGGGAGGGAAGCAGACUUCGCCCGCGAUGAGGAAGUACUCUGGAUUGCCCACAGUUCCGUCUGUGCCUGGGUCCAGAGGAGACUUUCACAGCAGACAGCCCCGUGACACACCCACGUGUGAUGAUAUAGUCAUUCUAGGGGGCCUGCAUGGCCAGGGCUGGGCUUGAGGCUCGGGUGUAAGGGCGCUUGCCCAGUUUGCAUGAGCCAAGAGAAGGGCUGGAGAGGGCGUCCACGGCAGACCAAGCCAGUCCUUGUCCUGAUGUGUGCUGGGGUGGCUGGGCCUUCACACAGCACCGAGGGCAGCGGCCCUGCAGUGAGCAGCAGCGACUUGUCCCCCCUGCUGGUCACUCGUGGAAACACUUACAGCCAGCUCUGGCCCCAGCUGGGCAGGUCAGCCCUGAAGGUGACUUCCACCCUCUCUCCAGGCUGCACUCAGCCCUGAGGACACCCAGCUCAAUAAAGGAACGCUGAACUGUGGUCUUCUUCAGGCAGGGACAAAGUGUGUGAAUUUGUUGAAGUGGAGGAGGGACCUCUGGGGAGCUGCCAUCGAAGUAGACAGGAAAAACAAAGGUCAGCAAGGGAGAGUCCCUUGUCCAUGUCCCCUGGCCAUGAAGCAGCGGAGCAGGACUUGAAUUCACUCUGUCCGAACUGUGCAGGUCACUUCGGAGCAAGAAAGCUCUGCAGGCAGGGAGGUGGCACCUAAACCGCGUCUCCUGAGAUAGAAAAAGAAGAAAGGACAUCUGAAGGACGUUGGCUUCUGAAGAAGGAGAAUCUUUGUCAGGAGAGCUUCGCUCAAGUCGCAUCUUACACAGCAUUCUGAUCACAGCCAGGUCAUCUGUAUUUCCUGUGAGACUCGCGGGCAUUUCUAACCAGAGCUCAGUUUUUAGACACAGUGGUAGCUGUCCUUUGAUUUUCCCUGAUGGUGACCUUCUCCCCCUUCUGGUGAACUCAGCAGUCGCCUGAGUUCAGUCCCCGUGGUGUGAGACAGGCUGACCCACCCAGGCCAGCAGCACUCUGGCAGGAGCACUUGGCCGAGGACUUCUGCGCCAGGACUGGAGUGUGCUGCCCUGUAAUCAGAGAGCGCUGCCAUCGCUGAGAGAUCCAGACGCUUGUGCCAAGCACACACAGGCACACAAAUACAGAGACCAAACGGAAGAACACGGAGGACAUGGAGGACUCCGGAAGCACUGGCAUCGAAAUGGCCCUCGUCUGGUUCUAAGUCAGCCUGGUGUUUUCGCUGCCUCCAUCUGGAUCCUCUGCAUGUGGUCCCAGGCGCACCCGUGGGGAGUGUGGCUGCUCACGGGAGCUCACGGGCCAAGCCAGCCUCAGCUGAGAUCACUGCAGGUGGACCGGUCUCCUCUCGCACACUGUCGGUGCAAAGUGGUAGCAGGUAAUAAAGAAAAUUGGCCAGGUGUGGUAACAUAGGCACUCUGGGAGGCUGAGGCAGGUAGAUAGCAAGUUGGAGGGCAGCCUAUGCAAGCUGGCAAGACCCUUCUCAAAAUUUAAAAAAAAAAUGUAAAUCUAGUAAAAACAAUGCAUAGGCAUUUGCUGCCACAACUUCUCUUCCAUGACCUCUCCUGGGCCAGGAACAGGAC